This 464-nucleotide ribosomal RNA is filed under the name uncultured bacterium. RNAcentral describes it as "partial 16S ribosomal RNA". It matches the Rfam family "Bacterial small subunit ribosomal RNA", at positions 28 to 506 of the family's 1533-position model. The record is from RNAcentral.
GACGAACGCUGGUGGCGUGCUUAACACAUGCAAGUCGUACGGUAAGGCCCUUUCGGGGGUACACGAGUGGCGAACGGGUGAGUAACACGUGAGUAACCUGCCCACAACUUUGGGAUAACGCUAGGAAACUGGUGCUAAUACUGGAUAUGUGCUCCUGCUGCAUGGUGGGGGUUGGAAAGCUCCGGCGGUUGUGGAUGGACUCGCGGCCUAUCAGCUUGUUGGUGGGGUAGUGGCCUACCAAGGCGGCGACGGGUAGCCGGCCUGAGAGGGUGACCGGCCACAUUGGGACUGAGAUACGGCCCAGACUCCUACGGGAGGCAGCAGUGGGGAAUAUUGCACAAUGGGCGCAAGCCUGAUGCAGCAACGCCGCGUGCGGGAUGACGGCCUUCGGGUUGUAAACCGCUUUCAGCAGGGACGAAGCUUUUUGUGACGGUACCUGCAGAAGAAGCACCGGCUAACUACGU